This is a non-coding RNA of Plectropomus leopardus (leopard coralgrouper), 166 nucleotides long. The record is from RefSeq and is a predicted model, not a curated record. Lineage: Eukaryota; Metazoa; Chordata; Actinopteri; Perciformes; Serranidae.
GUGGAAGGGUGUCGAUGUCUUGGUGAUGAAGAAUACAAUAAUCAGGUUACUGAGGUGUCAUCCAAGGCUGAUAUUUGUGCUUCGUAUCUUCAUCCAUCUAACUUCAGUUCUCUCUUUGAAUAUGUCCCCCCACCACCUUUCCUGUACCAACCAGCAACCCCUGCUU